AGGGUUGUCAUCAAAAAGAAGUUACCCGUACCUAUUCAGCCACCUAGUGCAGAUCUUCGAUUUGAAGCCAACACGUCUAUGUCAUCGGUUCUGCUGCUGCCGUUGGAACACGACCAGUCAGUUUCCACACCAAACGAGCAAAAAUCAACAGUUGGCCUACAUCAAACACCGGAUAAGCGGAAAACUGCAUCACCAUCCACAUCUCUAUCUCCCAGAAAAGUGCUAUUGCGCCGGAAGGU
Molecule: long non-coding RNA, 239 nt
Organism: Homalodisca vitripennis (glassy-winged sharpshooter)
Lineage: Eukaryota; Metazoa; Arthropoda; Insecta; Hemiptera; Cicadellidae
Exons: 3
Source: RefSeq, a predicted model, not a curated record